AUCUUUCCUGCAUGACCUACAACUUAUCAUAGGAAGGUUGUGAGGAAAAGAAGUGUCAGAGUACUAUAACAUAUGGGGGAAAUUUUAUCAAUGGAUAGAAAGAACAGCAGAGUCAACUGGAAUCAACAUCAGAUUAAAUAAUGGUGACCUAUGAAAAAUGUGCGUGUGCCCUAUUGGACAAAUUCAAGACUAGUGAAUGUAUGAAGACUGAAGAGAUACCAGAACCAAGAAGUCACCCAAAAGGCAACAGGACUACUGGAUGAAGAAAGUAUUUGCAUUUGAUGUCCCAGCAGAAAACACAGUGGGCUGCCCAGGGUUGAAUGCAAUUUUUUUCCAGAGGAAAUCUGAAGAAUUGAGGCAUUAAGAGAUGACAUUUUUCAAUUCUUGAAAUGGCAGAGAAACUUCCCCAUGAGGCUUCUGUUGUAUAAUUAUUCUACCUAAACACAGAAUUUGGAGGUGCAGAUGAUAUCAUCUUUAUCUUGAAUGUUUCCCAUUUUUCCAACUCCAGCUUUUUUUCCCGUUGAAACAAAAAAAGAUAAAAGUU
Molecule: long non-coding RNA, 544 nt
Organism: Ahaetulla prasina
Lineage: Eukaryota; Metazoa; Chordata; Lepidosauria; Squamata; Colubridae
Exons: 4
Source: RefSeq, a predicted model, not a curated record